Small nuclear RNA from Quercus lobata, 106 nucleotides. The record is from RefSeq and is a predicted model, not a curated record. Lineage: Eukaryota; Viridiplantae; Streptophyta; Magnoliopsida; Fagales; Fagaceae.
ACUCAUCCUUUUGGUGUUUUAAAAAAUUGGAAGGAUACAAAUAAAAUGAACAUUGCUCUUGGCAAGGAUGACACGCAUUAAAAAAAAAAAAAUAACCAACGCUUUU